Molecule: ribosomal RNA, 480 nt
Filed under: uncultured bacterium
Lineage: Bacteria
Description: partial 16S ribosomal RNA
Rfam family: Bacterial small subunit ribosomal RNA
Source: RNAcentral
AUUGAACGCUGGCGGCAUGCCUUACACAUGCAAGUCGAACGGUAACGGGCCUUCGGGUGCCGACGAGUGGCGAACGGGUGAGUAAUACAUCGGAACGUGCCCGAUCGUGGGGGAUAACGAGGCGAAAGCUUUGCUAAUACCGCAUACGAUCUACGGAUGAAAGCAGGGGACCGCAAGGCCUUGCGCGGACGGAGCGGCCGAUGGCAGAUUAGGUAGUUGGUGGGAUAAAAGCUUACCAAGCCGACGAUCUGUAGCUGGUCUGAGAGGAUGAUCAGCCACACUGGGACUGAGACACGGCCCAGACUCCUACGAGGGGCAGCAGUGGGGAAUUUUGGACAAUGGGCGCAAGCCUGAUCCAGCCAUGCCGCGUGCAGGAUGAAGGCCUUCGGGUUGUAAACUGCUUUUGUACGGAACGAAAAGCCUUCUUUUAAUACAGGAGGGUCAUGACGGUACCGUAAGAAUAAGCACCGGCUAACUACG